Molecule: ribosomal RNA, 459 nt
Filed under: uncultured bacterium
Lineage: Bacteria
Description: partial 16S ribosomal RNA
Rfam family: Bacterial small subunit ribosomal RNA
Source: RNAcentral
CCUACGGGAGGCAGCAGUGAGGAAUAUUGGUCAAUGGGCGGGAGCCUGAACCAGCCAAGCCGCGUGAGGGAAGAAGGUACAGCGUAUCGUAAACCUCUUUUGUCAGGGAACAAAGGCGGGGACUAGUCCCCGGAUGAGGGUACCUGAAGAAAAAGCAUUGGCUAACUCCGUGCCAGCAGCCGCGGUAAUACGGAGGAUGCGAGCGUUAUCCGGAUUUAUUGGGUUUAAAGGGUGCGCAGGCGGCCUGUUAAGUCAGCGGUAAAAGCCCGGGGCUCAACCCCGGCGAGCCGGUGAAACUGGCGGGCUUGAGUUGGAGAGAAGUACGCGGAAUGCGCGGUGUAGCGGUGAAAUGCUUAGAUAUCGCGCAGAACCCCGAUUGCGAAGGCAGCGUACCGGCUCCACACUGACGCUGAGGCACGAAAGCGUGGGUAUCGAACAGGAUUAGAUACCCGAGUAGUC